UGCAGCGGAUCAAAACAAUAACUUUGUAAAAUCUCUCGUACGUUGAAAUCCGAUUCCAACAUAAAAGUCAUUUCGUGUAGAUAAUAACUUUGAAAGCUUACGGAAACGUAUUUGAAGUAAAGUAAGAAAGGUAGUUUGCAGUUAAGAUAAAUAGCACAAAGGAAAUGCAAACCAGAUUUUAGAGUGGUUCGGUCAAACAUGACCUACAUCCACU
This 214-nucleotide long non-coding RNA is filed under the name Musa acuminata (dwarf banana). RNAcentral's name for it is "long non-coding RNA (MACU_LNC003981)". Lineage: Eukaryota; Viridiplantae; Streptophyta; Magnoliopsida; Zingiberales; Musaceae. The record is from RNAcentral.